This 466-nucleotide long non-coding RNA is filed under the name Malus domestica (apple). Its description in RNAcentral is "long non-coding RNA (MDOM_LNC000599)". The record is from RNAcentral. Lineage: Eukaryota; Viridiplantae; Streptophyta; Magnoliopsida; Rosales; Rosaceae.
GCUUAUUUUCACUUUGGUUAACAACCUAAGUGAAUGCACGCUUCCAGAGUCCCACUAUGAUGUUUCUUUCUUUAAAGGCAAUAAUACUCUUUCAGUUGCUUUGGUUCUGAUCCUGGGAUUUAGUAAUAUCUUAUAGUGACAACCCCUGUGGUUCUUCACUUUUGGAUAUCUACUUCACAAGUCCAUACAUGUGUCCCUUUUGUGAUUUUGUGACACAUUCAUUAUAAGGGUUAUGAAAGUGAUUUCCUAUCACAUAGGAAAAUGCUUUCUUAAAUCUACAACAUUUGAGAUUUAAUUUCCCUAUUUAAUAUCCUUGAGAUAGCCUUGCUAUAUCAAUAAGUCCAAUUUCAAGUCUAUACUUCAAAAUUGACCGUGUCAUGUUUUGUCAUUUCUCGAGUAACAUCUAUGUUUUAUCAAGUCUAUCAAAUAGACUUUAUUCACAUCUUGUUGCUCAAAUUAUGACAUC